GAUGAACGCUAGCUACAGGCUUAACACAUGCAAGUCGAGGGGCAGCAUGAACUUAGCUUGCUAAGUUUGAUGGCGACCGGCGCACGGGUGAGUAACACGUAUCCAACCUUCCGUUUACUCAGGGAUAGCCUUUCGAAAGAAAGAUUAAUACCUGAUAGUAUGGUGAGAUUGCAUGAUAGCACCAUUAAAGAUUUAUUGGUAAACGAUGGGGAUGCGUUCCAUUAGGUAGUAGGCGGGGUAACGGCCCACCUAGCCUGCGAUGGAUAGGGGUUCUGAGAGGAAGGUCCCCCCACAUUGGAACUGAGACACGGUCCAAACUCCUACGGGAGGCAGCAGUGAGGAAUAUUGGUCAAUGGGCGAGAGCCUGAACCAGCCAAGUAGCGUGAAGGAUGAAGGUCCUACGGAUUGUAAACUCUUUAUACGGGAAUAAAGUUCCUACGUNUAGGAUUUGUAUGUACCGUAUGAAUAAGCAUCGGCUAACUCCGUGCCAGCAGCCGCGGU
Molecule: ribosomal RNA, 501 nt
Filed under: uncultured bacterium
Lineage: Bacteria
Description: bacterial SSU rRNA
Rfam family: Bacterial small subunit ribosomal RNA
Source: RNAcentral